UUAGUUAAAGCUAAAUAUGAGGCAUCUCAAUGUUAAUGAGAAUAUUGAUUUAAUAAAUCUAACUAAA
RNAcentral lists this transfer RNA (67 nucleotides) under Signoretia aureola. Its description in RNAcentral is "tRNA-Asn". Lineage: Eukaryota; Metazoa; Arthropoda; Insecta; Hemiptera; Cicadellidae. The record is from RNAcentral.